UGUCAACUGGUUGUUGGGUNNUUCANCUGACUCAGUAACGAAGUUUAACGCGUGAAGUNGACCGCCCUGGGGAGUACGNCCGCAAGGUUGAAANUCAAAGGAAUUGACGGGGACCCGCACAAGCGGUGGAUGAUGUGGUUUAAUUCGAUGCAACGCGAAAAACCUUACCCACCUUUGACAUGUACGGAAGUCGCUAGAGAUAGCUUCGUGCUCGAAAGAGAGCCGUAACACAGGUGCUGCAUGGCUGUCGUCAGCUCGUGUCGUGAGAUGUUGGGUUAAGUCCCGCAGACGAGCGCAACCCUUGUCAUUAGUUGCUACAUUUAGUUGGGCACUCUAAUGAGACUGCCGGUGACAAACCGGAGGAAGGUGGGGAUGACGUCAAGUCAGCAUGGCCUUUAUGUCUGGGGCUACACACGUGCUACAAUGGCAGAUACAAACCGUCGCGAGACCGCCAAGGUGGAGCUAAUCGGAGAAAGUCUGUCUCAGUUCGGAUUGUCGGCUGCAACUCGCCGGCAUGAAGUUGGAAUCGCUAGUAAUCGCGGAUCAGCACGCCGCGGUGAAUACGUUCCCGGGCCUUGUACACACCGCCCGUCACAUCACGAAAGCCGGUUGUACUAGGAGUCGCCACACCAACCCGCACAGGGAGGGAGGCGCCUAAGGUAUGGUCGGUGAUUGGGGUGAAGUCGUAANCAAGGUACC
RNAcentral lists this ribosomal RNA (699 nucleotides) under uncultured bacterium. Its description in RNAcentral is "bacterial SSU rRNA". It matches the Rfam family "Bacterial small subunit ribosomal RNA", at positions 810 to 1500 of the family's 1533-position model. The record is from RNAcentral.